RNAcentral lists this unclassified non-coding RNA (252 nucleotides) under uncultured fungus. RNAcentral's name for it is "sequence contains ITS1, 5.8S rRNA gene". The stretch from base 204 to 252 matches the Rfam family "5.8S ribosomal RNA", at positions 1 to 49 of the family's 154-position model. The record is from RNAcentral. Lineage: Eukaryota; Fungi.
UUUCCGUAGGUGAACCUGCGGAAGGAUCAUUGUCUACACCGCGCUUGUCCGCGGUCGGGGGGCCGACCCUUCGGGGCCGACCCUGUCUGAACCCUCUGUCAUUGUCGCACCUCGCGUUUCCUCGGCGGGCUUGCCCGCCAACGGGGACCCCAAACCAAACCCAUUUGCAGUGUGCAGUAAACGUCACAAAAACAAUUAAUCAAAACUUUCAACAAUGGAUCUCUUGGUUCUGGCAUCGAUGAAGAACGCAGC